Molecule: long non-coding RNA, 504 nt
Organism: Carassius carassius (crucian carp)
Lineage: Eukaryota; Metazoa; Chordata; Actinopteri; Cypriniformes; Cyprinidae
Exons: 3
Source: RefSeq, a predicted model, not a curated record
CAAACUUUCCAGUACUUCAGUGUACUGAUAAUCCGGUUUCCACCCAGUCCCAGGAGAUUAUAUUAAACCUGGAAAAUAUUGGAGAAGAUCAAUUAAGUUUUCAGGAGCACAUUACUGUGAUAAAUGCUGAACUAUGUAAAAGACAACCUGACUACACCAACAUAUCAAAAAUCUAAUGAGAUGCGCUCUUUUUAAAAGAGUUGAUUUAAUGACAAAAUCAACUUGAGAGGUCAUGGACAUGUUCCCAUUUCUUCGGGUUCCACAACUUCUGCUGCAUGAAGUGAAGAUGCGGUUUGGGAAGGAACUUCAUCUUAAUCUAGAGACUGCUCUUCAAGUUCUGAACAGUUUAUUGACACAAACACAAAAAGUAUGUUCUUUUUUUCCUUAACACUACCAUUAGUUGCUUGGUUUGUUGAACGGUUACUGUAAUAAAUCUAUUUAUACCAUGGUUUGUCUGAAUAUCUGAUUCUGAUUGGCUAAAAGGUGUGCAUUAAAAUACUUUGA